Molecule: long non-coding RNA, 989 nt
Organism: Taeniopygia guttata (zebra finch)
Lineage: Eukaryota; Metazoa; Chordata; Aves; Passeriformes; Estrildidae
Source: RefSeq, a predicted model, not a curated record
AAAUGAUUUACCUGUCUGUUCUGCUUCACUUUCAUCUCAGCUUUCAGGGCUUCAUUCAUCAAUCUUUUAUUUACACACGCAUAUCUCAUUUUUACACAAUUCCUCUCUCCCUGACCAGAUGGCUGCGCUGGCUGCUCGGUGUUCAUCAAAGGCAAGAGGAAACACACGGAUGCCUCGUGGCAGCCAGGGAGCUCGGGGUAACUCUGCUUUUCAGCAGCAAUUCUCCAGACUGGGGAAGAGCUGAUGGACAUAAAGGAGUGCAAGAAGCUGAGCAGCACUGAGAGAUUUGAUGUUAAAUGAGAACCAGGAGUCUCUGAAGUGAAGCUAAACUGAAACACAGCCCUCUCCUCUCCUUGUCCUUCCCUGAGAGCACCAAAAGGAGCAAGCUCUGCUGACACUGGAAUGUAAGACAAAUAUGCAUUUAGAUAAUUUUUUGGAUUAAGAUUUUUAGCAAUUUUUAUCUACUGCUGAUGGUGACUUUUUGCUCUGGCGACUACUUUGUCAUUUUAUACCAUUUAAUACGUAUUUCCAGAGGGAAAAAAUUCAAAUGCUGAAAUGUUGUCAGACCUGAAGCUGGAUACACAAAAAAUGAUGGCUCAGGGCUGAAACUUAGAGAGAAAUACAAAGUUCUCUGAAUAGGAAACAAUGGGGGACUAGAGGCUGCAAUUGGCCAGUUGUGCCAAUGUCAGUUAUACCAUUUUCCUUUCAAAUUGUCCAUACUCUUGAUCUUUUUGACUGACAAAAUAAUGCUGGAACCACGGGUGCUUAGUUUGGCUUUUCUGUACAAGCACUUUUAAAGUUAAACAUUUUUUAAAAGUCCCAAAACAAAAACAAAACCAACAAAACAACAACAAAAACAAUUACUGCAGCUCUAGUUAUAGAUAAUCACAAGACCUGACUGUGACAUCUUCACUGCAUCUAUUUUUUUCACAUUCUUUCCAUGGGAAGAGUGUUUUAAAAAUUAUUAAAACCAACAAAAAAUCCCAAAA